GCCAUUCCGCGUGAGUGAAGAAGGCCUUCGGGUUGUAAAGCUCUUUCGCAAGGGAAGAAAACUUACACAAUAACACUGUGUGAGGCUGACGGUACCUUGAUAAGAAGCACCGGCUAACUACGUGCCAGCAGCCGCGGUAAUACGUAGGGUGCGAGCGUUAAUCGGAAUUACUGGGCGUAAAGCGUGCGCAGGCGGUUUUGUAAGUCAGAUGUGAAAUCCCCGAGCUCAACUUGGGAACUGCGUUUGAAACUACAAGACUAGAAUAUGUCAGAGGGGGGUAGAAUUCCACGUGUAGCAGUGAAAUGCGUAGAGAUGUGGAGGAAUACCAAUGGCGAAGGCAGCCCCCUGGGAUAAUAUUGACGCUCAUGCACGAAAGCGUGGGGAGCAAACAGGAUUAGAUACCCUGGUAGUCCACGCCCUAAACGAUGUCUACUAGUUGUUGGUGGAGUAAAAUCCAUGAGUAACGCAGCUAACGCGUGAAGUACACCGCCUGGGGAGUACGGUCGCAAGAUUAAAACUCAAAUGAAAUUGACGGA
RNAcentral lists this ribosomal RNA (536 nucleotides) under uncultured bacterium. RNAcentral's name for it is "bacterial SSU rRNA". It matches the Rfam family "Bacterial small subunit ribosomal RNA", at positions 391 to 917 of the family's 1533-position model. The record is from RNAcentral.